UGCCAAAAUUGUUGAUUAAUGUUUUUAGUCAACAUUUUCGUUAAAAAAUAAUUUAACUAUUUUUAAAAAUUAAUAAUAACAAAAAAAUCAAAAUUGAAAAAUAUUUUAGCAAAUUACACUAGAAAAAUAUUUGUCUACGGAUUUACCACAGGAAAAUCUAAAAUAUUCCAAGAGAAGCAAAAUAAAUAAAAAAUAAACUGGUUUCAUUAUUUACUGGAUUUACAAUACUCAUAUAACUACUGAAAAUUUGAAAAAAGGGGAAGGUCAUAUAUGAAUAAAUCUAAAUAAAAAAAAAUCAAUGGAUGAGGUAAGUAAUUGCCAAGGCAAUCAAAAGCAGCAUAUAAGCAAUUCCUUGAUCAAUCGCAGCACCAUCAUUCGAUGGACCCGGCGCCGGUGCCGGCGAAGAAUCCAUCGUUUGCCCGUAACCGAGUUGCGAAACUGCGAACAACAACGCCACAAUGACUUGAACAACAAGCACCUUUAUUGAACUCAUCAUCUUCGAAUAAUUAUGAACUAACAAAAUUAAGUAAAUAUUAAAGGAAAAGAAGAAAGAAGAAUUUCUGGGUUUUCUUUUUUAAGGGGAAACGAAGAGAAACGGGGAAAGUUUAUAAAGAAAUAUGAUGAAUUUUGAGGGGAAUGGCGAUGAUUUUUAUACUGUGAAGAGCUUAGUUUUGGGGGGCAGACAAUUUCGUGGAAAGUGAAUGGUCAAGAUACUGGUUGUGGCAUUUUCUCGAACGCGUCGUGGACACGAGAAAAAUUUGUGUUUUUUCCUCGGUCGUGGCGACUACGCUAAGAUUGACCCCGUUAGCCAAUUAGCGAGUAGCGAGUAGCAAGUCGCUAAGUUUGGCUCGUUU
RNAcentral lists this long non-coding RNA (854 nucleotides) under Gossypium raimondii (Peruvian cotton). RNAcentral describes it as "long non-coding RNA (GRAI_LNC003323)". Lineage: Eukaryota; Viridiplantae; Streptophyta; Magnoliopsida; Malvales; Malvaceae. The record is from RNAcentral.